GAGUAUGGUGCACUUGGCAAUAAAGGCGACUAAGACUUGAGCUUUCAUUGACGGUCAUGGACGAUACUGUAUAUCAAAUUCACUGAGUUUGAUCGCCCAUUUUACCAUCUGAUCGAAGGUAUUAGGUUGAUGUAAGAUUGCUUUCAAGGAUUGGUCCAUUAAGAUGAUCACUAAGUAUGCUUGAAAGUAUGGUCGAAGCCGC
This 202-nucleotide long non-coding RNA is filed under the name Elaeis guineensis (African oil palm). RNAcentral's name for it is "long non-coding RNA (EGUI_LNC004363)". Lineage: Eukaryota; Viridiplantae; Streptophyta; Magnoliopsida; Arecales; Arecaceae. The record is from RNAcentral.